Molecule: ribosomal RNA, 218 nt
Filed under: Aspergillus terreus
Lineage: Eukaryota; Fungi; Ascomycota; Eurotiomycetes; Eurotiales; Aspergillaceae
Description: partial 28S large subunit ribosomal RNA
Source: RNAcentral
UCGUAGUUGGCUACGUAUCGGCUUUCCGGCCUUCCCCUCAGCCGGCUCGCCACGGCGCCCGGGGAGACGCCCUCGGGUGCUGGCUGGCGGCUUGCCAUGUCACCUCGCGCGGGGUUGUUUCCUCUGCAGACGACUGACGUGACCUAGCGGGUCGUGUAAGCGGUCAAGUAGCCUUGUUGCUACGUGUCGCUGAGCGUCACCCGCCCUUGGCUAUAUUU